UAGCCGAGGCCGAAAGGCGUAGGUGAUGGACAUCCGGUUAAUAUUCCGGAACCACUCAAAUGGAGCGAUGAAGGGACGCGGCGUGGUAGGACAGCCUCUUAACGGAUUGAGGUGCCAAACGCGUAGGACGUUGAAGGGUGUAGGCAAAUCCGCACCCCGAGUCCGAAACGUGAUGGCGGUGCCUUAGAGCCACAAGUGAUUGAGCCAUGCCGCCAAGAAAAGCUUCUAAGCGUCGAGAUUUGAGUGACCGUACCGCAAACCGACACUGGUAGGUGGGUAGAAUAUACCAAGGGGAGCGAGAGAACCCUCGUUAAGGAAUUAGGCAAAUUUCCCCCGUACGUUCGCAAUAAGGGGGGCCUCUGGCGGUUAGCUUAGGCAAAGCUGCUGGAGGCCGCAGAGAAAUGGCUCUUCCAACUGUUUAACAAAAACACAGGUCUCUGCUAAGUCGAAAGACGAAGUAUAGGGGCUGACGCCUGCCCAGUGCUGGAAGGUUAAGGGGAGAGGUUAGGGGUAACCCGAAGCUUUGAGCCGAAGCCCCAGUGAACGGCGGCCGUAACAAUAACGGUCCUAAGGUAGCGAAAUUCCUUGUCGGGUAAGUUCCGACCCGCACGAAUGGCGUAAUGAGAGGAGCACUGUCUCAACGAGGGACUCGGCGAACAUUGAAGGACGUGUGAAGAUACACGUGACCCGCAGCGGGACAAAAAGACCCCGUGAAGCUUUACUACAACUUGCCAUUGAGUUAGGGCUAAACCUGUGUAGCAUAGGUGGGAGGCUUUGAAGCUGGGACGCCAGUCUCGGUGGAGCCACCGUUGAAAUACCACCCCGGUUUAUUCUUGGCUCUAACCUGUCGCCGUUAUCCGGCAUGGGAACAGUGGCUGGUGGGUAGUUUGACUGGGGCGGUCGCCUCCGAAAGCGUAGCAGAGGCGCCCAAAGGUUCCCUCAGGCUGAACGGAAACCAGCCGUUAAGUGUAAAGGCACAAGGGAGCUUGACUGCAAGACCUACAAGUCGCGCAGGGACGAAAGUCGGGCUUAGUGAUCCCACGGUUCAGAGUGGAAUGGCCGUGGCUUACCGGAUAAAAGCUACUCCGGGGAUAACAGGGUAGUCUGGUCCAAGAGUUCAUAUCGACGACCAGGUUCGCCACCUCGAUGUCGGCUCAUCACAUCCUGGGGCUGGAUAGGGUCCCAAGGGUUGGGCUGUUCGCCCAUUAAAGUGGUACGUGAGCUGGGUUCAGACCGUCGUGAGACAGGUCGGUCUCUAUCCGCUGUGGGCGUAAGGGAUUUGAGAGAAGCUGCCCCUAGUACGAGAGGACCGGGGUGGACGGACCUCUAGUGUGCCAGUUGUUCUGCCAAGAGCAUUGCUGGGUAGCUACGUCCGGCAGAGAUAACCGCUGAAAGCAUCUAAGUGGGAAACUCGUCUCAAGAUUGGAUCCCUCCUCUUUAUGAGAUAAGACCGCUGGAAGACUACCAGCUUGAUAGGCGGCAGGUGUAAGCAUAGUAAUAUGUUCAGCUUAGCCGUACUAAUGGUCGAAAGGCUUACAU
This 1539-nucleotide ribosomal RNA is filed under the name metagenome. RNAcentral describes it as "bacterial LSU rRNA". It matches the Rfam family "Bacterial large subunit ribosomal RNA", at positions 1393 to 2925 of the family's 2925-position model. The record is from RNAcentral.